ACUUUCACAAGAAUGAAAGCCAUUGGUGCUAAUGUCAUCACUUAACAGAAGGUUAUCUCCUCUGCUCCUGCUCGACGCACAGCAUUGGCCGGAUGUCAUUAUAAUUUCCCAGAGAGUAUUUACAUUUGUUUCUGCAAGGCACCUGAGGAUACCAGCAAUCUCGGAUGAAGUAUUAAGUUCAUUGGAUCAUGGUGGAGGCUCUGUGAAAUCCCACCUGCUUCCAGUUCAUCUAGUUCUAAGAAGCAGCCAGUGAGCGGAGAAGAGGAUCAGUUAUUAGGAGUGCCUCCCUGAGUACCCACCCUCCCCUAAAUCCUGGUUUGGUACAAUAAAGCCAAAGCAAAAGAUCUACUCUUUCUGAAUGUGCCACAUUUGUCAACUACAUUUUCAGGGCAGUGUAACUGCUCUGCUCGUGAGUUCAGGCCGAUAGCACCGAGCAC
Molecule: long non-coding RNA, 437 nt
Filed under: Heterocephalus glaber (naked mole-rat)
Lineage: Eukaryota; Metazoa; Chordata; Mammalia; Rodentia; Bathyergidae
Description: lncRNA (ENSHGLG00000040870.1)
Source: RNAcentral